GUUCCUGCAGCACAUCGAUAGCGCGUUGGACUUCUAAUCCAAAGAUCGUGGGUUCGAAUCCCUCCGGGGAUG
Trichonephila inaurata madagascariensis is the source of this 72-nucleotide non-coding RNA. NCBI's taxonomy places the organism in Eukaryota, Metazoa, Arthropoda, Arachnida, Araneae, Nephilidae. The record is from the annotation of a GenBank genome assembly.